AUUGUGAUUUUAAGACGUGAGAAGUUAAAUCGAUGUUUAGUUUUGAUUAUUAAUGCCUGAAGUCAUUCUUACGUCAUCAUUGGUGGUCCUUUACUCGUCAAACGGCUCUGUUGUUGUUGUGGGAGCUCAACUGAGGAGAUUUGCUUUACAAGACGAAGAAAUAAAACAUGAAUGUGACAAACUACUUGACAAGCAAAGACGGAUUUGUAGUUCAGUUAGAGGAGGAAAAUCCUGAUCAUCUGAGACAUCUUUACCUGACUGAAAAAAAACGACCUGUCCUGAUUCUCCACUGCUUAUGAUCCACACAUCCAAGGAUGAUGUACAAAACACGUGAAUGUCCAAGAGAAACAGUACUGAUGCUCAGGAGAAAGGACAGCUUUAUUGACUGAACACAUAGAAGAUAAUGAGAAGAUAAAGGAGGAGCUGAGAGGAUAAAGAGAGUAUCAGCAGCGGCACUAAGAGCAGUAAGAGCAAAACUCCCAGUACAAUCACAACCACUGGAGGAUUGAAGAGAGGAGGAGUUUGUGGAGGAGUCACUGAUCUCCUGUUUGUCUGAGAAACUGAAGGAGAAGCUGAUGUUGUUGUUGUGGCAGGAGUUGUAGACACUGACAAGUCUGUAAAAUAAAAAAAACACACAUAUUCAAGUAAUUAGCUAAAAUUGAAAUGCAUUUAUCUCAGUGUUUUCCUCUCACCUGCACAGAUGAGUCUAACUUGUUCUUUGUGUGAGCAGUCAGUGUGUUUUUUCAGGACAUGAGGACAGUCCCACAGGUGAAUCUCAGUCCCUCUGCACUCGACUCUGUUCAUCCACACAACACCUUCACCAGCACCAAACGCUUCAUUCCCAUCAGCACUCAAUGCUGCUCCACAACCCAGCUGCCUGCAGACCACCUGAGCAUCUCUGAUGUCCCACAGAUCAUCACAGACUGAACCCCACACAGAGUUAUGAUAAACCUCCAGUCUCCCCGAACACAAACCCUUCCCUCCACUCAGUCUGAGAGGAAGAUGAUCUACAUCACACACAUCAAACAACAUUUACAACAACACACUGAAACACAUAGAUUGAACACAGAUUUUUACAAUUUUAUACAGUUUUAUUUAUUACAUAAACAUACUUGAACAUUGUCUCUGAUGAGGAGAUGGUGAAGUAGAACAUGACAGAUUACUCCGAGGAACUUCAUUUAUCACCGUUUCUGAAAUCAUUACAUGAGAAAAUGUCAAUUACGUAAGGAAUAAUUGAUGAUGGACCAUAGUAUUUUCGAAAUAAAUAAUUCAAAGGACCGGAGUCAAUUAUUCUGCUUAUACCACGGUUACCACAAACAUCCUUCUGGUGGUUAUUUUAAGACAUUUGACAGGCCAGGUUUGCGUUUUACAGAAAAAUAAUCAACACCUGUGGAACAUUUCUCAACCAAUCAGAAUAAAGCAUUCAUCAGGCCUGUGGUAUCCACCUUAUAUUUAACGUAAAUGUGGGCGCAGCCAUCUUUUAGCUCCUUUGCGCAUGACUUCCGGUGAGCCACUAAAGCUAAUGGUAGUCCUAUUGCGAGGGACACAAGUGUGCUGUUUUGACUGGCAUUUUAAUGCUUCUUAUGAAAUCCAGGAAGACCGGCAUCAUUUCUGCAGUUAGGGGUUGCCAUAAUAGCUGAUAAAAACGCUGUAAAUCUCUACAAAACAUUUAUUUUGACCAUAAUACACGCACAAGAGCUGAAUGUGUAUGUGGUGCACUUGCACCCAUGAUCUGUAUCCACAUUUAAACCUCAACAGUUGUAACAUUUUAAACCAUCACCUGAAAAGGUUAAAAACACAAAUUCUUGAUCUAUUCCCUGUACAAACACUUGACUGACUUUCCCAUUUCAAAGAUACUGAUAUGCUUCUGUGCUAUUAUAGUUGCGCAUUGAAGACACGUCACUCCUGAGCAACAACACGAAAUGAUUGAAUUUAUUUUCAUAUUAAAUAUCAGGCCACUUCUUAAUUUCAUCCUCUUACUUGGUCAUACAUGGCAGUUGUAGUAAAUAUUUACAAUAACUGUUUAAAUCAGGUUUUAUGUGUGCUCCCACGACCGGCCGGCUAUUAAAAUGAAUGUCUCAAACAAAAAAAGGGAAAUACGUCACAUCACUUACUUCCAUGUUUGAAAAUAAGGUGGAUAAAACCAAUUAUUACACGGCUCUCUGGAAUGCUUGAUUCUGAUUGGUCAGUUGAGACAUUUGCAGGUUCGUUCUUUUCAAAUAAUAACCGCUCCAAAAUAAUAACGCAUAGCCGGACUACUUGCACGAGUAAAAUCGCUCCGCGCCAAUAAAGAUCAAUAAAGAUUACUGUCUGUUUGGCGUCAUCUUGUGACAAACACUCGACAACCACGACAAGACACAGCUUACUGAGACUGAACUUGACAAAAUAGAGCAGGACAGCUACGAAGCCAACACACAAAAAAAUACAGAAUGGGCAUUAAAACUUCUCAAAGACUGGUUAAAGAGAAAAAAAUGGAGACAGACAAGUAUGAAGCAGAGGAUCUUAAUAAGGUAUUACGAUCAUUUUAUGCAUCUGUGCAAAGUUUCGCGGAAGGAUAAAAAUGUUAAUUUAAAACAACUAUGCCAAUAAAAUGUUUCAAAUUCACGUCGCGUCGGGUCCUGAUCACACUGUCGGGGCUUAUUUCCCAAUAACUACCGGCUGCCUCUACAUUAUCCCUUACAUAAAACAUAUCAUUUCAGUAAUAUAAUAUCACAAACCCUAUAGGUUCUAAAUACAUUACACACAAAAUAAUUAGAAAUCUCACAGGACAGUAACUUAAAUUUCAUCUCACCAGAGCAGGUAAUGUUUGCCACUUCAUCUGUACUAUAGUAAUCCUGUCCCCAAGGUGAAGAUGGACACUGCCAUAUAGUGUAGUCAUGCGAUCGACAUUUAAAGAAAUCCAACCAAUUCUGAGACCUCAAUCCAUUUGAAUAAUUGGGUUCACUGGCAGAUCUUCCACAGUUCAGCUCUUGACAGAUCAGACUCGCUGUGUCUCUGUUCAUCUGAUUGUAGCAAACAUUACCCCAGGAUCCAUUGUAGAAAACCUCCACAUUCCCUUCACAGCCUUCAGUUAACCUGAGCUCUUUAAACUCUAGAUUGAAAGAUAUUUGCAUUAAUCUUCAACUUGGAGUUUAGGUACUAAACUCAAAAUAACAUGUUAAAACAUUUUAAAUACUGCAUAUUAAAGAACUGCAGUUCUGUGAUAUAAGCUUCAUAUGUAGAAUUAUAGAAUUAUUUUUUUGACUAAAAAGAAAUGUAAUCCUCUUUAAAAUACAUUCAUUCCAUAACACUCCUUACCUGAGCACACGACUCCUACAUCCUCCUUGUGUUUACAGUCAUGAUCUCCCCAGACCCGUGAAGAGCAGCUCCACAGUGACGUCUCAUUCCCCUCACAGUUCACAUCAUCCAGCCAUAUGGGUCCAGAACCAGGACCAAACCAGGCUGGUACUGGCUGAUUACUGAGAGCCACUCCACACUGCAGCUGUCUGCACACCACAUGAGCGUCUUUAAUAUCCCAGGAGUCAUCACACACUGUACCCCAUGAGCCUUUGUGAAAAACCUCCAGCCUUCCUGCACAAUCUCCACCUGAACCCACCAACCUGAUGGACCUCUGACCUGUGAUUGACAGCUGUUGUCUGGAGCUGCAUUUGAGAGUUUGUGGAGAGCUGCAGUUCCUCAGAUGAUCUUCAGUCCCAGAGCACUGGAAGCCCAUCACACACUCAUAACUGUGUUCAUCACUGGAUGAAGAGGAGUUAGUGAAGUUCAGCACAGAGCCACAGCCCAGCUGUCUGCAGACCACAGAGGAUUCAGUGAGACUCCAGGAGUCCAGCAGAACUCUCCUCCAAACCUGAUGAAUGUAAACUUCCACCUCACCCUCACACUCUCUCUCUCCAGACAACCUCACUCGACCAUCAUGAAGAGACAGAGAGGAAUCUGGAGAAAGGAUUUGACAUUUUCAGAUUGAUUACGAUCACACUACAGUAACUUCAUGUUAAUGACAGAGUGAAGUUCACUCACUAGAACAAAUGACUCCAACAUCUUGUUUAUGAGAGGAUUCAGCUCGACUCCAUGAAGAGAUUGAACAUUCUGAGAGUUUUGUUUCAUUCCCCUGACAAUCAAACACAUCAGCCCAGAUUUCACCAGAUCCCUCUCCAAACCAGUCCACUCCCACAACAGACACAGCAAUCCCACAAUUCAGCUCUCUACAGAGGACAUUGGCAGCUCUCAUAUCCCAGCAUGCAUCACAAACUGUUCUCAACUCAUUAAGGUAUCGAACUUCAACUCGACCAGAGCAGAUAUCAGGACCGUUCACCAGUCUGUGGUCAAAGUAACCUGCACAGAGAUCUCAGAGAGUAGAGCUGCAGCUCGUGUAUUAAAGUUGAGGAGCAUCGCUGAACUGUUGAUACAGAAAAACCAACAAGAGCCCGACUGGAACAAAGUAUUUGAUGUUCAGCAUUGAUAUUUACCAGAACAUCUCAGUCCCACAUCAUUGUCAUGAGAGCAGGUUACUUUAUGUGAAGAAUAUGAACAUAAUCGACUGAGUGAUUCAUUUCCUCUACAUUGAAUCUCUUGUGUCCACACCUGCUCCUCUCCUUUAUCAAAAGUAUCUGCACCCAGCAGCUGUACAGGAACCCCACAGUUCAGCUCUCUACACACAACCUCUGCACCCUGAUCAUCAAACACAGCAUCACACACUGACAUCCAGGUGUUCCCACGAAGCAGCUCGACUCUUCCAGAACAUUGAUGAGGUCCAUCAACAAGUCUUGCAAACCUUCCAUAGUUUAUGAUUUCUGAUUAUAUGGACAAAGUGAACAGAACAUAAGAUUGUUACUGGAUUUGUUAAGAUAAUAUUGGAAACUAAAAGAUCCUUCCAGAAGACAACUAAUCCUCAAUAACAAGUCUGGAAACGUUUUGAUGUGUUCUUAAUGAAAAUAAAUGAAAAAUAAGAAACAUUUAUGAAUGUUUCUUAACACAUUAUAGUGAAGUCACUCUGAUACAUGAAAUAAAUGAUUUUGGAUGAUAUUUUGACUGCAAAUUUAUUGUAUAG
Paramisgurnus dabryanus is the source of this 5047-nucleotide long non-coding RNA. RefSeq lists it as uncharacterized. The record is from RefSeq and is a predicted model, not a curated record. NCBI's taxonomy places the organism in Eukaryota, Metazoa, Chordata, Actinopteri, Cypriniformes, Cobitidae.